UACGUAGGGUGCAAGCGUUGUCCGGAAUUAUUGGGCGUAAAGAGCUCGUAGGCGGUCUGUCGCGUCGGCUGUGAAAACCUGGGGCUUAACUCCGGGCCUGCAGCCGAUACGGGCAGACUAGAGUUCGGUAGGGGAGACUGGAAUUCCUGGUGUAGCGGUGAAAUGCGCAGAUAUCAGGAGGAACACCGGUGGCGAAGGCGGGUCUCUGGGCCGAUACUGACGCUGAGGAGCGAAAGCGUGGGGAGCGAACAGG
This 253-nucleotide ribosomal RNA is filed under the name uncultured bacterium. Its description in RNAcentral is "partial 16S ribosomal RNA". It matches the Rfam family "Bacterial small subunit ribosomal RNA", at positions 524 to 776 of the family's 1533-position model. The record is from RNAcentral.